RNAcentral lists this non-coding RNA (95 nucleotides) under Alkalithermobacter paradoxus. RNAcentral's name for it is "Clostridium thermoalcaliphilum Glycine sequence". It matches the Rfam family "Glycine riboswitch aptamer". From Rfam's summary of the family: This family represents the bacterial glycine riboswitch. Glycine riboswitches usually consist of two metabolite-binding aptamers domains with similar structures in tandem. Lineage: Bacteria; Bacillati; Bacillota; Clostridia; Peptostreptococcales; Tepidibacteraceae. The record is from Rfam by way of RNAcentral.
UGACGCAACCCUGGAGAGAUUCUAGAAAUAGGACAUCGAAGGAGUAACCUAGACAUCAUAGGGAAGCUUUCAGAUAAAAGGACAGGGAGUAAAGA